Molecule: long non-coding RNA, 1012 nt
Organism: Schistocerca nitens (vagrant locust)
Lineage: Eukaryota; Metazoa; Arthropoda; Insecta; Orthoptera; Acrididae
Exons: 2
Source: RefSeq, a predicted model, not a curated record
GCGGUAUACGGGUAUAUUUCGAAAGGGAAGUUCGUCGGUCAGUCUGAUGACUCAGUCAGUCAAAAGUCAAAACGUUUACUCACGUCCGUUUUGUUGGCCGAGCGAUUUGUGCUUGUGUAGGGCCCUAAAGGUUCUCCUCCUUGGUAGUGGGCUGCAGGGCUCCUGCCACCAGCAAGCCAGUGGGAGCCUAACAGUAUCGGCUCCCACUAUGUUGCCACUUCUGCUGAGGUUUGCUGCCUGAAGAACUGUGCCAGCAAGUCAUUGUCAUGAGAAAUUUGAUGCCUUGGUGUAUGAUGAAAGCAGUCAAAAGGGGGACAGGCCAAGGGCGCACACUCCUAGGAAACUUUCAAAAAGUGUCAGACAUGACGUGUUUACACACGGUCAGUUGUGUGAAUUUGUGUGUUUCAUGAGGGAGCAUUUUGAAAGACACAGGGAAGGAUGUAGGAGUGCCUCUACUUCCUAGCUGGUUGGCCGAGGUGGUGGAGCAAAUUGCAGCUGCUCUACAAAUUGGUGAAUGACCAAUGAUAAGAAUCUUGUAGGAGAUAUUCAUGAAAGAAGAAUCAGAUGAGUCGUCUAAAUUGGAGACACCUAGGAAGAAGAGGCUUGUUGAAAACGGGGUCACAAAUCUCGACUCUUUGUAGGAAGAUGUGAUUCGUUAUCAGAUAUUUGCAUAUGAUUCAAGGAAGGAGUUUUCAACCCUCAAAAAGCUACAAGUUGCUGUUGUUGCAGUGGACCUGUUUCGGGAUAGUAAAUAGUCCCUUGUUAUGAAUCAUGAAAAAGUUAGGAUUUCACUAUAAAUCCAUUUCUGGCCACCAGUUACUACUGGAAGGCCAAGAUGUUGCAGUCUUGCAAUGCUGUUUGUUUAGAGAAUUAGUAGGGACAAAUUUUGACGAUAUUGUGUGGUUUGCUGAAAGAUGCGUAAGUGUGAGAGACAGUUUAAAAAAAAAAAAGGCUGGAUAGAUGAUACCAUCAGCAGUAGUAUGGCAGCUCCGAUUGGCAGAGGAAAACAAUU